Molecule: non-coding RNA, 97 nt
Organism: Marasmius oreades (fairy-ring Marasmius)
Lineage: Eukaryota; Fungi; Basidiomycota; Agaricomycetes; Agaricales; Marasmiaceae
Source: the annotation of a RefSeq genome assembly
GGGGGUAUAGCUCAGCUGGGAGAGCAGCAGACUGAAGUAUUCUUGGAUUACCAUACCAAAGUUCUGAAGGUCCCGCGUUCGAUCCGCGGUACCCCCA